GGAAUUAGGUAGUGUUCCCCACCAGCAGCAUACAGUUCUCAGGGAGAGUCAAAGUGCUUAAAAACGAUAUAUAGAUUUUCAUCCUAUGGGGUUUUCGGAGAGAUCCAAGUAUUGUUUCAAGUGACAUCAGAACAGAAAUAUAAACUAAACAGGAAUAAAAGAGGACUAAAUUAUUGGGGAGGUCGUUUAGGCCAUUUAAAGAUAGAUCUAGAUAAAUCCUGACCUAUCCCCUACUAGGUAGUUUUUUCGAAUUACUUAGAAGAAAUGUUUUGUGACUUCUAAGAGUUCAUUUUCAAAUUGACCAAAGGGCUUCCAAUUUAAAGGACAGGUUCAUUAGAGUAGCAUAAUGAGUCACUUUAUAAUGAUGAGGGCCUUUGGAACUAGCAGCUGCCCCUGGAGGCCAUUAACAAAUGCACGCGUGACCAGGGUAAGGGUGACAUAAAGAAAACUUGAAAUAGCUCUCGCCAGCUUUCUCUGGACUGGCAGGAAAAGCUGAGCCCUGGGAACCUCAUUGGCAACUGCGGGGAGUGUCAACCCACUGUCCUAAGCAGGCCACUUUUCAGUUGGGUUGCAUCUAACCUCCCCUCACCCAGCUCUCCUCAGAGCCAACCUCAGAUGAAUCCUUUGCUCUGAGACCUCAGAUGGUCUGGAGAGUGACUCAGACUUUGCCUUGUGACUGCGAUUUUUGCCAUCGUUACCUUUAUUAGUAUUGUAAUAAUAAUAAGCAUAAUGUUUAGGCUUUUAUGUUCUCUUUUCCACCCACUGUUUGUUAUAUGUUGUGUUGUCUGAAACCUUUUAUAAAAUUCUCACGCUGUGUUUUUUAAUUUGCUAUUGAUUUUCCUUUGAGUCAUUAACCUGUCCAAUUAAAAACCCUCUGAUUUACUUUUCCCCAUUGGCAUCUAUUUGCCCUGCUCUUAGGUACCCUUGGCUUCUUACUAUAACCUGUUAUAUUUGUCUGCAAAGACACUCCCUGUGGAGAGAGCUCUGUUUCUCUCCCUUUGGUGUCCCACGGGCCCUGUGAUUCUCUUUGUCUCCAAAGACCAAAACUUCUGGCUCAGAGGGGCCAGUGCAGCCUGGAAAUAGCACGAAAGGCUCCGCUUUCUUUGGUGAAAGGUGACUUGAUGGUUUGGCUGGGCAUUCAGGCAGACUGGCGCCAGAGCCGCUGUGGGAGAGGAAAAGUGUGUCUGUGGCCAACCUGCCAUUUGCCUCUACACUAUCCAUUAUGACCCUUCUUGCUUACCAACAACUGGAUCUGCUUUGGGGCAGUAAUGUGCCAGUUAAAAUGUGCAUCUUCUAAGACUGCUUCUGGGGCUCCUGGGUCAUUGAUGACAUCACUGAGCUGCAACGCAAGCUCUGGCCUGGCAACCCCUCUACUACUUGUUGUGAAGGAGAAACGAACCUCUAGAUUAUUUGGGUCAUUGCAGCUCUAAGGUCACUCGGGUUUUUUCUGUGGCUUGGGGUUGAAUGUCAUCCUAGAAGAGCAGGGCUUCCUCCCACGAAUAGCCAUGACCUCGUCACUGCUGGCGUUUUGAACUGGAUGAUUCGCCCUGGAGGGUGGGGCUGGGGGUGUUGGACAUGGUAGAAAUAUUCAACCUCUUCCACUCAAUGCCAGGAGCACCCCCUAGUCGUGACAACCAAAAAUGUCUCCAGACAUUGCCAAAUGUCCCCCCUAGGGACAAAAUUGCUCUGGUUCCUGGAAGCAGAACCCCAAAGGCACAGAUGUAUGAGUCCAUCUCUGUACUUGAGCAGUUUGGGUUUACAGCAUUUUUGUUCAGAUAUAUCACUGGAUAUUUGCAGUGCAGCAUCUUUUAUGGUUUCCUUUUUAUAGCUUCAGUGUUUUUAUUCCUCUAAUGUUUCCAGUUUUUCUAUGGCAUUUACAAGCUGGGCUUUGUCUUUCUGAAUCACUGUGCAUUUUCCUUUGUCAGUUCCUGUAGCCUCUUUUUUUAAAAUUUAGCAUAACUCAUCUUUAUUUAAAAAAAUAAUAGAUUCUGCUUUACUUUCCCCCUAGGUACCUCUGUCAACUCUUUAUAUUUAAUUUGAUAGAAGUUUGGAGUUUAAUUGGUAAAACCAGGAGGAAUUAUAUGUAUUAUAUAAAUAAUAUUUAAUAUUUAUUUAUGAAUGUCCAAAAAAAACAAGUACCUAAAUUAAACUGGAUCAUACUGUCUGCAAAACUCCACAGCUUGAUUGAUUUCUUGAUGCAAUUCCUGUUCUUGAUUCUCUCUGUACUGUUGGUACCACCAACAGACACGUUUGUCAUGUGGUAUAAGGAGGAAAGAGUGUACGUGAACCUGGGUUACCUGGUCCUACCUGGGGGCAGAGCACACAGGUGUGUGACUUGGCAGCAGAUGGCACCUUUGGGUAGAAGCAGCCCUAUGCCAGGUGGCUUGGUGAGCAGAGUAUUCGGCCCCAGUAGGCCUCAGCCAGGGACCCAGGGCACUGAAUGUCCAGCAUGAUUGUAUGUGGUGGCCUAGUGGGCACAGAACACAAUUUGCUGAGAUGCCAGUUCUACAAGGCUGCUAUGGCUUUUGCUACCUCUGAGAAAGAGGUUCCAGAACAAUGUCCCAGCCUGCUGCCCCACGAAAGCACCACCUCAGGUUAAGAUUAGUUCCUUUAUGCUGGUUUCCAGAGUUCAGGAGGCUGGGCAUCCCAAUUUAAUAUUUUUAAAAAUUAUAGACACAUGGAGUUCCUGUCAUGGGUCAGUGGUUAACGAAUCCAACUAGGAACCAUGAGGUUGUGGGUUCGAUCCUUGACCUUGUUCAGUGGGUUAAGGAUCCGGCGAUGCCGUGAGCUAUGGUGUAGGUGGCAAACAUGGCUCUGAUCUGGGAUUGCUGUUGCUGUGGCUGUGGCAUAGGCCAGUGGCUACAGCUCCGAUUAGACCCUAGCCUGGGCACCUCCAUAUGCUGUGGGUGCAGCCCUAGAAAAAGACAAAAAAAUUAAAAAGUGAAAUAAAAUAAAAUAAAAUUACAGACACAACCUCCAGAUCAGGGGAGAAAUAACCUGUCACUUCCACAUGUCAUCACCAGUUUCCCCAGUUUUCCAAAACAAAAUACCUGCAAGUUUCUCCAAAAGGCUCUUUAAAAUUAUUCUUGUCCUUUCCACUGUCUUUGUAACUGGAAACAGAAAUUUCUUCUCAGUGCUGAGACCUCCUGGUUAAGUUCUACCAAAUGGAUGCACAUUUUUGUUUCUAGUGAAAUUGAUGAAGGAUUUUUCCAUCUUCAGGCUUGAUUCUGAUACCCCAAACCCAUGCUAAAUAGAAUGGCUGAUCAAAUACCAUGUAUUUUUUGGGGCGCCCUCUGAACACACAGUGAUGAUACCCUUGGGAAACCGUAGCAAUCAAAGACCUGUGUGUGAGCCUCUGGUUACAUGUUUCUUAUUAAACAGAAAAUAAUAGAAAUGUCAAAAUAAUGAUCAACCCAACUGGGUUAUACUAGCUUGCAUCUACCUUAGGCUAAGAUGAAAAAGCUUGUUGACAGGACGUUACCGCUCUUGAAAUGCAGAAAGAAAAAUCUAGAAGGAUUACAGGAGUGAAGGUCUAGGACAUCUUUGUUUCAGAAACAAGAGAUGUAGAAACUCUUUCUCUGCAGGGUAAGAAGAACACUAGGGAAGGGGCUCCUUAGGGCCUAGGAAUGGUCCUUUUACAAGGCAAGGUGGGCCCUUUUAGGGCCCAGACUCCUCAGAAGGUGGGUUAGAAAGUGCUGUUUAAGCUUUCUGGUUGUUUGUUUCAUAAACAAAGUUAAAAUCAAGCACUUGUCCAAUCCAAGUCCAAAGUGAAUUUAGUCCCGAUUGUGUACAGCAGAUGUGGGGACCCAGUUAGAAGCUGGUGCCUCGACUCAAGGCAAGGGUGGCCUGUGACACCGGACUUUGAAUUAUAUUAGUCAACACACAUGUACACACGUGCACACACACACAUGCAUGUAAAAUUAAAUAAUAGCUAGAUUUACCUCUUUGUGUUAUUUAAUUUUAACACUAGCCUUUAUUCAUACUUAUUCAAACAAUCAUCGUGUUCAUAUAUUUUGAACCAAAAAAAAAAAAAUCAGGAUAUAUUCAUCAACAAAAGAGUUUCAUUUUUCUUUCUCAUUUGUGAAUGCAAUAACAGCAGGGAAGAAUCUUUGAAAGUGAGACUAUCCCAGAAAAUCUAAGACAAAUAAAUGGUUGCUAUAAACUGUCAAUAUUAAAAAAAUAUUAAAGGAAUAUUGCCAUUCCUCAUUGCUGGUUGCUUGAAAACUAUGCAGAAUACGAUUCCUCUCUUCUUCUUUGUCAUUUACUUAUUUAUUUAUUUUCUAAAGGAACGUGUAUGUCUGUUUUCUUCUUUAGAAAUAAAAAAAGUCAGGAGAAAAGGGACAAUUAGCCAUCAAGAAGAAUGAGUCAGGUUGACAAAGACGCUGAGGACACAACUGGUCAUUUCUCCCAGAAUCCUCAUAAAAAGGACGGUGCAUCAGCAGAUGGCUUGGGGUGAUGAGCUGCAGGCACUGGACUGGGGGUGGCGGGGGAGAAUGGCAGACAGGGAAAUCAAAUACAGUUUCCUCAUAAAGCAGAGUAGCGAGGAAAUUAAUGUCUUAUUGAAAACAAAGCAGCAAUCUGGUGACUGCUCUCUGGAAAGCCUCUCCCCCAAGCCUAGGGCAAACCAGAAAAUCCAAUAGGAAGUUUUUAUCAUUUAAUGGCAGGAAGGGGCCAUUAGCAUCCAAUACUGCAAGAAGCGCACCAAACAGACAUAUUCCUUAGAUUUGUAAUUAACUCUUCAAAGUGCUAAGUCUGCUAUUAAAAAGAAAGCCUGACAGUUGAAGGGUGGGAGCAGUGCUUUUUAAAUGUACAACGUUUCAAGCUCUACCAGGCACAAAGAAACUCUCCAGCUGAUUAACAUCCUGGGAUGCUGCUUUAGUGAAGGAAGGUGAAAUGGGCAGUUUCAUUACAUAGGCGUAUGUAUCCUUUUUCCUCUAAUGUUUCAAUUCAUGGGUCUGCAGAUCAGCUUGGAGGAGCACAGCGCAGAGUAGCCUAACAUCCGAGCAGGGGACCCUGAACCUCUGAACCCAUUCGUCCCGACAUUAAAAAUAAAUGUAAGUCCUGUCUAUGGCUUUCCGUCUAGGAAACUCUUCCUCUACACAAAUGGGGCUUUACUUUGAAAAAACUCCUGGAAAUAGAGCAGAACGUACAGGGGUCUUGCUCAGUAGGGCACUGUUUUGGACAAACCUGAAAUGCGAAAGGCAAUAUCGGGUCCUGGGAAAACACAGACAUACAGGGACCUCUAGAACAACGGGUAGGUAUGUUUUGCUGAUGAAGAUGCAGGCAAGAUUCAAUCGCGGAUUUUACCUCACAGCAUGAAGAUGAGAAAUACUCAUGCUCUGACUUGGCUCCCCUGGGCUUGAAGGCUCCAGUGCAUUUCGUUGGCCUGCAGGCACUUACCUGCGGAUGGGAGACGGCUGUCAUUUUCAUUUAACUUUAUUCUAUUUCACUUUAUAACCCUACACGCAAGGUUCUGCAUAAUCCUGAAGAAACAAACCCCAUGGUGCCAUGUUUUUAUUUCAUUGGCAAAUUGGAGAUCGGUUUGAUGUGCGUGUCUCAGUAGGCUGGGAACAACUUUCUUCUUUUUUAAAAAAUAUAAUUUCACAGUAACCAUGUCACAUUUGCAUGAACUGGUAAUCCUUGCCAGCAAGCGUUAACAGUUGUUUCAGGUUAGAUCCAAUAACCAGUAUGUUUAGCGUAGCAGGUACUCGCAGGGGUCUAUCGUGACAUGGAGAAAAGGGAACUCUAGUGCACUGUUGCUGGGAGCAUAAAAUGGUAAUAAAACAGACCAAGCUGUGAAGGUUUAUUAAGCUAUAAUAUAACUGAAAUAGAAUAUGAUCAAAGAAUUCUUGAUUUAUCUUGACUCCUUGUGCUUGAGGAAAAUCCGGUUUACCUGGCAAGGCAGAGGGGGGCUUCCGUAUUCUAGAAAAGGUCUCCUUGGCAUGUUGAAGGACUUCCCCUGGGCUGCUCCUCCUUCUGUCUCAGCAUCUGUCAAGGCGUCCGGCUUCCUUCCCUUCAUGUGUCUCUGGCAGAUUUUUAUCGUUUGUUCUAAGAGUUGAGAGCUUUUCCUCCCUAACUCAUAAAUCAAAGAAAAGCAGAGGAAAACUGUGGGGAAAGGGAGGUUAUGAGAGGGAAAUAAAGGAAUUCUCUUGUCAUGCAGCUGGUUAAGGAUACGGCAUUGUCACUGCCAUGGCUUGGGUUGCUGCUGUUGGUGUAGGUUCAGUCCCUGCCCAGGAACUUCCACAUGCCAAGGGCAUGGCCAAAAACAAAAAAA
This 6274-nucleotide long non-coding RNA is filed under the name Sus scrofa (pig). RNAcentral describes it as "lncRNA (ENSSSCG00060000491.1)". Lineage: Eukaryota; Metazoa; Chordata; Mammalia; Artiodactyla; Suidae. The record is from RNAcentral.